Molecule: long non-coding RNA, 2076 nt
Organism: Triticum aestivum (bread wheat)
Lineage: Eukaryota; Viridiplantae; Streptophyta; Magnoliopsida; Poales; Poaceae
Exons: 2
Source: RefSeq, a predicted model, not a curated record
UUUUUGGCCCGCGCAUCGCAAAAGACCUAGUCCGGCCGCGAAGCUUCCUUAUCCGCGUCAAAUCCACACUACCUCCUGCGCCCCUAAAUCUCGCGCCGCCGCCGACCGCCGUCCCUCCCCGGCGCACUGCGCUCCGAGGUCACCCCAGCACCUGAGCCGGCUCUCUCUGAUCUGUACGUGUUGCUCCUCUUGGCCACUCUGCUUGCGCCCCUUACCACCACCCAUGGCUCCUCUGCUAUUGGGUUGCGCCGCCGCCGUAGCUCCGGCGUGGGUACCCCCCAGCCACACCCGUGCUUGGCCUACUCCUGCACACGGCCACGACCCUGCUCAAACAGCUCUAACAUCGCCAGAUUGUGCUUCUUCCCCAGCUCCUGGAUACAUCGACACACCGCCGUUCAGAACCCACUCCAACUCGUGCAGUUCGACGGCCUCACGGAGGUACGUACCCUGAAUCCAAACACGUUUCUUCUACCUACUAGCUUCUCCGAACCUCUCAAAUCUGGUGCAGCUCAACGAAUCCUCAAAUCAAGCGUCAGAUUUCAGCCAUAUAAUUAUAUAUGUACGCCAGAUCUAGCCUCAGAUUCGAGCUAUUGAUUUGAGGAAUUUAAUCAUUUAUUUCCCCUUUAAUUAGUUAUAAAUUAGUUUGAAGACAGCCAUACAUUUCCAUAAAUUCUGAACUUUUUACUACUAAGAUUGAGUGGAAUACAUGGGAUGAUUAGCAUUGGCUCUGUUUUCCGUUGAAAUACAUGUAAUAUUUCCACCUAAUCUCUACCAGUCUCUAAUUUUGCUAUGUAAUGAGCACUGUGUUUAUACUUAUCUCCACACACACACACACAGAUAGCCUAUGCACAACAGAACUAAGAUUGCCUUCGAGUGCUUGUUGUGUUGACUGUGAGCUGCUGGGUGAAGGUAUGGUUUUCUGCUUGCCUUAACAAUUCAGAUGUUGAAAUGCUGUUUCAGUAUAAGUGUUAAUUUUCUUUGUAUUUCCUAGGUUUCUUUUUACUGUCUUACUAUCCAGCACCAUAAAAUGUCGAUCUAUAAUUUGUCUGUCCAUACCUCUGGAUUUUAUUCUAUUUUGUCAUGUUAGCAUUUAGGAAGCAGCAUUGAGCACUUGCAUUGCUAGUACUAGGAACAUCAUCAGUGAAACAGAGUGAUUGGCAACAAGAAGUUGAGGUUAUCACUCGACUUGGUUCAGUAGUUGUGGUGUUGGUUCAUGAUUUAGACCUAACUUGUGGCCUUGCCCCCUACUUUUUCUUUAUUGUACUAAGCUGCGAAAGCUUUUUUACUGAUUGUUUUAACUCAUCACAAUACUCCAAAUAGAAGCAACAAUGAUAAGAUUUCUCCUUUCACGUGUUUUGCAGAAAGUAGCCUCCAUGCCUAUUAAAUCUUGGUCCUGUUUUAUACAGAGGCUUUCAUCUACUGAGAAGCACAUCGAUGGAGAAAUAAGACAAUCGUUAUAGGCAAUCUGUUUCACUGUUUCAGGUACAUGCUUUGUACUGAUUGAAACAUAUGAGCAAGGUUGCUACAAAUUAUGUUCCAUAUAACUGUUAUAUUGAACAGGUGCAUCCUUUCGAGGUUAGGUAUUACUAUUUUCUCAAAACAACAUUACUCAUGCAUUUGUUGUCAUCAUUUUAUACAAUUCUGUAUCUUAUAGUUCUGCUCAGUUAUUAUGUGAUAAUUUUAAAGGGAUGGUGUCAAGGUUUAGCAAUGUUAAUUUGAGAAAUUGAGAUGCUGAAUAUGUUCUUAUACUGUAUCACAUAGAUAUGUGGUCCUAGUUGCAAUCUUUUAGCAAUUGACACUUGACAAAAAAUGAGUCUAUUCUUUUUUUAGCACAUCAUUGAGUCUAUUUGGUGCAGGCUAAUCUGAAAGAGAAGCCCGCAAUCCAAGCUGCGAUUGAGUGACAAGUGAGGUCCUGUUUCUGUGUAUGUAGUUAAAGAACUUGUGUGUUAAAUGUGCUCCUCUGUUUCAGUGACUUUCAACCGUUGUAUGUUGAUUAUAGACAGAUUUGUAUAUGAAGUAGAUACAUGUGAUUAUUGUAACCAAUUCAGUUGUGUAUGUUCUAGAUUUGUUGUGAAA